Long non-coding RNA from Trichosurus vulpecula (common brushtail), 427 nucleotides. RefSeq lists it as uncharacterized. Lineage: Eukaryota; Metazoa; Chordata; Mammalia; Diprotodontia; Phalangeridae. The record is from RefSeq and is a predicted model, not a curated record. The transcript has 3 exons.
CAUCUGGCUCUUUCUUCCACAACACCUUUCUCCCAUCUAUCCUUCUCCUGUGAGAACUGCGUGCCUGACAUCUACCUGCUAGCCAUGGACCCCAACUGUGACUGCGUGAGCGGUGGCUCCUGUACUUGUGCAGCCUCCUGCAAAUGUAAAUCCUGCCGAUGCACCUCCUGCAAGAAAAGUUGCUGCUCUUGCUGCCCAGCAGGAUGUGCCAAGUGUGCCCAAGGUUGUAUCUGCAAAGCCCCCCAGUCGGAGAGUUGUAGCUGCUGCCACUGAUGCUCCUGUCUCUCCAUGCCUGUAAAUAGAAGAAUUUGUAUACACCUGACUUUUCAUAUGCUUUGGACAUAUUUUUCUAUUUUUUCCUAUAAAAUGUGUGAAUCAACAAGCUUUUAUUAAGCAUUUAAUAUGACAAUAAACUCACUGAAUCCUC